Molecule: ribosomal RNA, 242 nt
Filed under: uncultured bacterium
Lineage: Bacteria
Description: partial 16S ribosomal RNA
Rfam family: Bacterial small subunit ribosomal RNA
Source: RNAcentral
GAUCAUGGCUCAGGAUGAACGCUAGCUACAGGCUUAACACAUGCAAGUCGAGGGGCAGCAUGAACUUAGCUUGCUAAGUUUGAUGGCGACCGGCGCACGGGUGAGUAACACGUAUCCAACCUUCCGUUUACUCAGGGAUAGCCUUUCGAAAGAAAGAUUAAUACCUGGUAGUAUGGUGAAAUUGCAUGAUAGCACCAUUAAAGAUUUAUUGGUAAACGAUGGGGAUGCGUUCCAUUAGGUAG